GAUGUACGCUGGCGGCGUGCCUAAUACAUGCAAGUCGGGCGAACGGACGAGAAGCUUUCUUCUCUGAUGUUAGCGGCGGACGGGUGAGUAACACGUGGAUAACCUACCUAUUAGACUGGGAUAACUUCGGGAAACCGGAGCAAAUACCGGGUAAUAUUUUGAACCGCAUUGUUCAAAAGUGAAAGACGGUCUUGCUGUCACUUAUAGAUUGAUCCGCGCUGCAUUAGCUAGUUGGUAAGGUAACGGCUUACCAAGGCAACGAUGCAUAGCCGACCUGAGAGGGUGAUCGGCCACACUGGAACUGAGACACGGUCCAGACUCCUACGGGAGGCAGCAGUAGGGAAUCUUCCGCAAUGGGCGAAAGCCUGACGGAGCAACGCCGCGUGAGUGAUGAAGGUCUUCGGAUCGUAAAACUCUGUUAUUAGGGAAGAACAUAUGUGUAAGUAACUGUGCACAUCUUGACGGUACCUAAUCAGAAAGCCACGGCUAACUACGUG
Molecule: ribosomal RNA, 497 nt
Filed under: uncultured bacterium
Lineage: Bacteria
Description: partial 16S ribosomal RNA
Rfam family: Bacterial small subunit ribosomal RNA
Source: RNAcentral